This 373-nucleotide long non-coding RNA is filed under the name Mus caroli (Ryukyu mouse). Its description in RNAcentral is "predicted gene 14033 (MGP_CAROLIEiJ_G0005383.1)". Lineage: Eukaryota; Metazoa; Chordata; Mammalia; Rodentia; Muridae. The record is from RNAcentral.
AGAACUGCAAAUGAAAUGCAAACCCAUGUCCUGAAGCAUUGCCUUGUCCAGGAUAGACCAAUAUUUUGUUCUAUGUAGACCUUCAGUAAGCUUCAGGAUGGGGAUGUCCCACAGAGCAAGACUCUUUAUCUUCUGCCAACUUACCAGUUUCCCUGGACCAUUUCUGAGCAACUAAUUCUGGAACUGCACUGAGAUGGCACUGUGUGCUCUACACAUGAUACCCACUACCUAUACUGAAACAGAAAUUAAUCAUCCUUUGAGCAUUCCAUGAUUUUGAAAUCAAGCUUAUUCAAAAGAACUUCUCUAAAGCUUCCUGCUUUUUUAGAGUGGGACUAAGGCACACAAUCUACAGCCACUUAAACACACACACAAA